GUCUAAUGCACACAUGAUGAACAAUAUAGUGGUGAUAGCCACUCCACACUAGAACCGUGGAAGCAAUUGACUUCGUUUGCAUUUGGUCGAUUGUAUGAAACACGGUGAAGUCAUAAACCAGUAAUAAACCAAAACCGCAGUUAGGUUUAUGGGAGAAAUAUGUGGGCAGUGAAACAAAUGGCUUGAAGCUAUGCAGACGUAGACAUAGAUAUGAGAAGAUUUAACGAGCAGCGCAGUCUGGGCGUCAUAAAUGAUUAAGUGAAAUUUAUGGUAAAACUCCCACUAGCUGCGGCCAACGAGAGUAAAUGAUUUGCGAAACAAGAUUAAAGUCAUCUCUGAUUCAAGGACGCACUUUUCAUUAAAUAAUUCAAUAUAAUUUGCGAGAUUAAUUACCAGAAAAUUAGUGAAAACAUAAAAAGCGGAGAGUUGGUUAACAUAAUCACAUGUUACAGGAGAGGAUGCAUUAGACGUCUAAUGGUAAUAUUAUUAUAAAAUACAUGACGGUAUAUUCACCUUAACACACCUGAUGUGAUGAAAAUCUCAGUAGGUGUUGGCAAUUUUGUAAAUUGCUCAAUUGUGUAGUUUUUAGCUCUUUCGGUUCGUCGAAAAAUCAAGAAGCCGUAAUUGCAACAUCCUGUUAUAAUUACACUAAUAGCUAUACUAGACACACUAUUGCCAUUAAAUGAUUGACUGUAAUUUCUUGCAGGUAUUUACGAUAUUUCUCUACAAGAAGACGGCAGAAAAUUACAAAAAAACACAAAUAAGUUUUUUUUUCGUCAGUCAAUAUUUCCAAGUUAGAUAUUUGCAGAAAUGGCCGGGAAAUGAUUGUUAAAUACUAUUAGGGGAAGCGUUAACGCAUUGAAGGUUCCAAACAAAAAUUUAUAGAAAAAAAUUGUUUACAGUUUGAGACAGCAUUAUUAGUGGUAUAAGAAAAAGGUGUAUAAGAAAAAGGUGGUAGGUUAAAACUGUAAACAUUUUAACUUUUCAACACCAGUGAAAUAAAAAUAAAUACAAGUUAAACAAAUGAAAUGAAACUAAAAAGUCAUUUGUAACAAAUUAUUAUUUUGGAAAUUAAGACAUGUUUUAUUUUAACAAUUUUUCAUGUUUAGGUCAUCAAACAAUUUAUAAUACAUUAUAUACACAAUAGUUAUCUAGGUAAGUACUCUGGAAAGGGCGCUUUCGUCGGAAUUACACAUACUUUUAACUGUAUGCUUUAUGAUUCAAACAAACUUGUCCGAUAAAAAAAUUCAUACUAAAAAGCAUAAAAAAUAUUUAAAAAAAAUACAAACUUAUUAGAAAAUUAAAAGAUAUUGGACCGGUUGAUAGAAGCGUCAUUAAUUUAAUCCACGAUUAAAUGCUUAAAUUAAAUGAUCAGGUGAGCACAUUGAAGCAUUUUGAUUGGUCUAUUCGCGUUGUUAACUUUUAACAACGUGUUCAUUUUUAAUAGUGCUUUCUAUAAAUAAAAGUUUAUUUAAAUGUCUUAUUUUAUUGUUCUGUUUUUUGAGGUGGUACCACUGCUUUCAUCCAAGUUUUUCGUAAUUAAAAAAAAGUUCCAAGGAUAAUGGAAAAGCUCCAGUAUAGAAAAUCCUGCAGAUCGUUGUUCAUAAUAUUAUAAGGAACCGAAUUAAUAUGCUGGUAUUCAUAUACAGAGUGCUCAAAAACUGACGCACCAACUCAGUGGUACGUUAUUGAGAAGCAAGUGCAGAUUACGGGAAAAAUGUUGAAAAAAUUCCUAAAGUUAUAUUUUAAAAAAUCUGGAGCUACAAACUUAUUGUGUUAACUUUUUUGGUUUUUAUUAUUUUUUUUAUGUUGUUAUGUUUCAUACCAGGUAAUCGUUUCGUAACAAAACGAUGAAUAAUUAUUUUAAAAUUUACUAGCAGAUUUUAGCAGUGUUUUCAAUUUAAAAAAAUUAAAAUUCAUCCAAAAAAUCACAAUGUGUAGAUGUGCCAACACUGGGAAUUAUUUCCUAGGACACCGUUUCAAAAAUAAUUUAUAUCUAUUGUUGAUCAAAUUCUAUUGCGAUCAUGACUGUUAGACAACGUUGCCACAUAUCAUUUACCUAAAAUUAGUUAUUUAUCAAUAACUUUAAUACAAAGAAUUUUUUUACUAUUUUUACCUUUAUAUGUAACCACUUCUUUACCACACACCAUUGAGUUGGUGCGCCAGUUUUUGAGCACGCUGUACAAAUUUAAAACAUUUUGUAGAUACAUUUUGAGGAAUACAAAAAACAAAGCAAUGUUUACUAUCAUAAGUCAUAAGAAAAGGGGGGACUAAUAAAUUUAUGGUUUUGUAGGUUUAGAUUGUAAAAGUCGCCUAUAUUCAAUGUUGUCUGUCGACCUGAUAUUGUAUAAUAAAUUACCGCUAAAUACAUGAAUUCUCGAUUUCGAACGCUUUAAGAUCGUAAUUAGAGGACAUUUUGAUAUAGUUUAUACUCACGGGAAAGAUUUCUGGGUCAUCAUUUUUAAUUUUGUGUGCAUUUUAUUUGUCUCAUUUGAAUUAUUGAAUUGUUAUAUAUUAUUUUCAUUAUUUUGUAUACUUCUAACUGUGAUAUUAAUGAAACGUGGGUAUAACUGUAUACCAUAUUGUAACCAUACGAAAGGAGAAGUAUAGUUACCUAUGAUUAUUUUCACGUUUUAAAAAAAUUUUUGAAUUUUAUUUAGCCGAAUAAUUUUCUCGAGCAUCUUCUCAGUUUUUCUAGUGCUUUAUUCUGUAAACCUGUGCCAAGGUUUAUUUUUUAUUUAAAACUGUUUUAUUUCUGGAGACUGCGUUCAUAAACACCUGAUAAUUUAUUUAUGUUGAAAAUGCUAUUGCCUUUUCGAGUGUGUUUCAGCUAAAAUAUAAUAAAGGUCAAUAGUUUAGAGAUUAGGAAUGUACUUGUGUUUUGGUAAAAAAUUGUAUAACUUCUGGAUUUCUUCGAGCUUUAAAGAUAAUAAAAAUUCAUUUUUUGCCGGUCAAAGUUAAUUAGAACUUGGUUAUUUAAUGAUAGUGAAUCGUGAGUCCGUUUAGCGUAUUUAUCAUCUAAACCAGAUAUCAAGAUACCACAGAUAUCAAGAGACUUUUUUUUUAAUCUUUUGUUUUCUAGACCCU
Long non-coding RNA from Tribolium castaneum (red flour beetle), 3087 nucleotides. RefSeq lists it as uncharacterized. The transcript is spliced from 4 exons. NCBI's taxonomy places the organism in Eukaryota, Metazoa, Arthropoda, Insecta, Coleoptera, Tenebrionidae. The record is from RefSeq and is a predicted model, not a curated record.